Molecule: long non-coding RNA, 1118 nt
Filed under: Cyanistes caeruleus (blue tit)
Lineage: Eukaryota; Metazoa; Chordata; Aves; Passeriformes; Paridae
Description: lncRNA (ENSCCEG00000016550.1)
Source: RNAcentral
AAGAGUAAAAGAGAUGGCAGGCUUUUCCAUGGCCUGUUAACCACUCAGGAUUCACUGACACAAGCUUCAGUGGAAUCUAACAGCCAAGUUCCAGCUAAACUCUAGAAGUAGUUUUUCAAGAAAAACUGACUGCCAGCACUGCAUACUGAACAGACAGUCCUUAAACUCCACUCUGCUGUGGAAGUUCAUGUGCACUUGCACUUAAGGUUUCAAAAUUAAACGUUGUGAUAUAUAUGUGUUAUACCCUGUUCUGGUAUUGCUGGUGCUUUUCAUACAAAUAUUGCAGGCUUUAUCACAAAUAAGUUGUGGUUGAACUGUUGAAUUCUCUUUCUGAACUCCUGUGAGACUUCCCAGCUCUAGGAGUGAGAGGUCAGGGUGGUUUAAGGUGUGAUAUAUUUUUGGUUGAGAUGUGACAAAUACAGUGAAUAGAUGAAUGCUAAUUCAGGCCAUCAUAUUUAAUUAGGGCAUCAAGACUGGAAUGCAGUCUUCACUCUGAAAAUGAGCUUUCAUGAUCAAAGUACAGCUACCUUAUUUAAAUAAUUUAAACGAAGAUCAAUUUUAAUCAAAGAUGAUACUGAGUAUUGCAUAUGAAAAUUACUACUUUUUUCUUUCAGUUUUGAUGUUACCGUGUAAAUGAGCAAUUCCCUUGUUCAGAGUUAUGUGGCAUCUAGCUGGUAAUAUUUAUUUAGGGUGGAAAAUUUGAAUUAAUAUCUACUUAAAGGUGACUGCAUGGCUAACACCCUCCAUGUAGUAGUCAGAAAUCUGUCUAUCUAUUCUAUUCUGUUCAGUCUGAAAUACAUCUGAUUCCAAAUGCUUUAAUUUUUCUUCUGUUACUGACUCAAACAAUUAUAUAUUUAGAGAAAUUAGAAGAUAAAAAUGUGGUCAAAUUAUUUGCUUCAGAGAGCAUAGAUAUUAAUUAGGGUAAAAUAUAUAAUUGUGGGAUAAUUAUUAUUAUUAUUAAUAUUAUUAUUUUAUUUUUUUUUUUUAGUUUCUGUGAGAAAAAAGAUUUUAAUCAUAGAUCUGUUCAUGUGCAAACCUGGAAGAGCUCAUGGAUACAGUUUGUCCAUGUCUUCCUCAGAGGACUCUUCAGCUCAGGAGGCCUGGAGUAACCUGUGCCA